Passer domesticus (house sparrow) is the source of this 4299-nucleotide long non-coding RNA. RefSeq lists it as uncharacterized. The record is from RefSeq and is a predicted model, not a curated record. Lineage: Eukaryota; Metazoa; Chordata; Aves; Passeriformes; Passeridae. The transcript is spliced from 9 exons.
CCUACUUUCGCUUUGCCUGCCUGGGACAGAACAAAUGGGCUAAAUGAGACCUACUUAGCACAAAAAGCAAUUUUGUCUCCGAAAAAGAGGCACCCACGCUGCACUUUGUUCAGCUCAGCCCAGCAAGGCAGAGUCAGCGGGUGAGCAGCCAGUUGAGACUACUGAUGCUGCUCAAAGAGGUUGCUUGUUGAGAAGGGACUGGAGGAGGUUCCAGAGCAAGGAGAUGAAGCCCAGACCUCUGGUAACAAAACAUUUGGAUGAUCACUGCACCUUGAGAGAACAUCAGAUUGGACAGCCCCUGCCUGUGCUGGUGCAACUCUUGAUGGUGGGAUUUGGGUCUUGAAUGUUGGCAAAUGGCUGCAAAUACCUGUCAAAGUUCCAGGGCUGUUUUCUGCAGGAGAACAACCGAAGUGGGUGCUCUCUUGGCAGUUGUUUUGUGCAAUUUGAUUUCCUAGGUAAAAACCCCGAGUUUCUGUCUUCAUUACUGGCCAGGUGCUUCCACAUAGGGCUAUUAAAACCUUAAAAGACUCUCUUUGAGGCUGAUCAAUACAAAAUGAAAUGGAGGAAAAUUGCUUAUUGCUGAGGAAAAUGCAGCACUGUGAAUAACAAGGAAGAAAAUGCAGCUGAAGGCUCAAAUUGAAUCUCUAUUAUGCCUGUGAUUAAAGAUAAUGUGCUACGAAAGGGGACUACUGCAGGGUUUCUGUGCUAGGUUGGAUGGCUGAAAACGUGGUGAUUGUGGUUGCUGGGCCCUCAUUGGCCUGGGUUUGAUAUCUAAAUUACAGGGCUAUUACCCAGAAAUGGGUUUGAUGCUCUGUCUGAAAGGCAGAGCCCCUCCACAGCCCAGCUGGCUGGGGGCACUCGUCCUGCCUGGGGCUUGGAAACUCUGUCUUUCUAUUUUCCUUGGCAACUCAGGGAAAUCUUUGCUGCUCUGCAUCCUCAGCCCCCACAAGCCUGAUCUGGGAAUUGCUGCUAUCAGCUGCCUGCAGCGUCUGCUCCUGGCUUAUCUGCUCCUGGCACAGAAAGGACACUGACAACUGCUAAUCAACCUCGAGCACACAGAUCUCCCUGAAACAUCAACAGCAUCUGCACUGCUCCCUCUUCUUUAUUUCCUUCUCUUCUGACUGGAGGGGGGAACAUCCUUUGCUGUCUGCAAUCUCCUAAGCUUAAAAAUUGGAGCUCAGUUAAUUAUGCUUAUUGAGCUGCUGCAUCUGCAUUUAGCUGAACCUUAAUUUGAAGAACAUAGCAAUUUGAAUUUGGAGGUUUAUGUUGCCCACCUAGCUUUUAACACUAAGGCCAAGUCUCCCUCUGGCACCAGUAACACCAGUGUUUGUACUGGUGCUGGGUGGUGUAGCCCUGCUUCCAGCCCCUUUAAUUUUGGGGACCUGCUGCAAAUAUUCUUUCCUUGGAGCUCCAACCUGGUUGCUGGCUGGUUGGUGUCACCUCUGGGCCAGUCUCUCUGUUAGUGCCAAGGGGUUUUUUGGUGACCCACAGAACCCAGUCAGGACCACUGUAGGUGCCAAGGGGCUUGUGUGACAAACUGCUCCUCAGCAAAGGGCAAGAGGUAAGAUGCUCUGGUGACAUCUACAUCCUCUGCAGGAGGACAGGCCAAGCUGGGAUUUGGUCUGUCACCCACACAGGUAUCUUGGAGCUGACCAGCUCUCUGACCUUGGUGUUUCUUGGAUUAUUCAGUAAAAAAACCCACACAAACAAAACUCAGAUUUUCUUUCAGUAUUCCUGUCACCACUCCUAUUUCUCCUGCUGCUCUGGCUGUCAUUGUCUGUGACAUUAAUAUCCCGGUUGUCAUCAGUGCACCAAAACAUGGUGGGAACAGCAAGUGUUUCUGCAGCAGUGUGGAGGCAGGAGAGGACUCAGGGUCCUGGGGACUGGAGGCAUCUAGGGAGGGUUUGGCUGAAGAACUUAAACAUGUGUUUGGUGUUUCUGUGACUUUACUGAAAAAUCACAUAAUGUGUGCAAGGCAAACCUCCAGCUCUAAGUUCUGUGCAAUCUUUACUGCCCUUAAAGGAGGAAAAGAGAUCUGAAGAGGAAGGUGCAGCUGGUGGCUCCAGGGCGGAAAGGCUCCAGUCCCUGGUAGUGCAGCACUCUCCAGCAUGGCUUGGGUGAUGUUCAGCUCCGUGGUGAGGACAAGGCAAUGACUCCUGCCUUGUUCUGUGGCUCUUGUAUGGCUGGUCCAUGUGCAUUUCCCAACAGCUCUCUGUGGCUGAUGGAAAAGCCAGUGUGUGUCCACAGAGAGGUUCAGCCUGCCGUGUUUGGUUAUUUAAUGUGAGCAAACAAGGUCAAAGAUAAAAUAACUCCCCCUCCCCCUUUCACAAUCCUUCUACUGUAAUUUUUUAAGAGCCAGCCAUGUGUGAGAUCAGGCAAAGGUUAAAUUGUCAGGCUCCCUUAGCAAAGGAGAGGUUUGACUCCUAGCCUGAGGCAGGGUUAUCUACCCUGAGCUGUUACAUUGCUUGUUAGAUCCUGCUUUUUCAUAGCCAAAACACAUCCACAGCACAGCCCCACUGGGUGCUGGGUUUAGUCAGGCUGUGUUAACCUGGUCUAACCCACCCUGGUAACCUGUAACCCAGAACUCAUCCCCCUGCAGGCUGCUGGGGGCUGGCAUUGCACUUUUAUUGGCUCGUGCCAGGAAGAAGUGUUUUGUUUCUCUGCCUCCAGUGUCUGUGUAAUGAAACUGGAGGAGAAAGAAGAGGCUCCAGCUCACCUGGGAUGUGCAGGGAAAUGGUGCCCUUGGGGAUGGGCUGCUCUCUAUGGAGUAUUUCAAACUCCCACUGAGGCUCACCUCUGCUGCUAAAUGUGGGGAAGGGAGAGACAGAGAGAUUCACUCUGCACGUCAGAGGUGUGUCCCAGUUCCUGAGAGCAGACGGCUGGGGAGGAGGAGGGGGAAGCACGGCUCUUAUGUAGGUGAGGGCUUGAAUGCCACCGGUGACGGCAGCAGAAAUCCCUGGGAUGCAGCAAUGGGAAUGGGGGAUGGGAACUUCUGGAAUCAGCUCCUUGGGAUGCUGCUGCUGCUGUGCUACUGCUCAUACAGCCACAGGGGUUGUGAGGAUCACAGAACAGCUGUGAGCAAGCAGCACAGGAACAGGGGUCACCUGCAUCGAGCUUCAGAGCAAACACCUCACAGGGAUGAAGGAGGCAGUUCACACCGCUCGAAGAAUCGUGAAAGAAAAUUACUUUCAGGCUUUGCAACAGUUUCAGAAAGGUGAAAAUGAAUCUGUGCCUCUCCCCAGCUCUGUGCUGUAAACUGACACCUUUAACAAUGUGCUUUUACUCCUGGUGCUGUCACAGCUGAGGCCCCUCCACCUCUCCCUGCGUGUCAUGCCUGUGCUCAGGUCCAUGUGGGAGAGCAUUUGCCGCCUCAGCAAACGAGACAGCUCUGCUGGCAGGGGAGGGAGCUUUGUGCUUUUACAGGUGCUGUAAAUUUGAUGAUGACCCUGGCCAGGAGUGAGAAGAGGACCCUGCCUUGUUUCCAGUGACAGGUUUCACUUUGUGGGCAGUGACCCUCCAUCCUCAGCACAUCCCCAUGUGUGCUCCUCAUGCAGUGCUUGGGGUCUGACCAAAGCCAGCCCUCAGCCCCAUGCCCUGGUGAUGGUUCUGCAGACAGCCUGUGUUGUUGCAGGGCACCACCUGAGCUCCUGGAGACACGGAAUUUUCUUCUCUGACACCUCCCUGCUUCAGAACUGGGCUUUCAAGGAGUUUAUUUGGUGACAGAGCUACAGCGACGGAACUGGAACAAGGAAGUUUAAUCUCUGCCCUCCUGCACAAGUGGGAAAUUUGGAAUCCCAGGCUGCCCUUUCCCCACCAGGGGUUUGUGCUGUGUACAGAAGUUUUUGGCAAAAGUGUCCAGCUUGAAUGGCCAAAGACCCUUGCUGUGGCAGGAAGGAUGUCAGCUCUUCCUGGGAAAACUGAGGCUGCUGUGCCCAGCCUGGCUUAAAUUAAUGGAAAGGCAGAGAAUCUGUCCCUGUAAUACACAUGAAAGAGACCCUCAGGCUCCUGACAGAGCAGAGACUGGGUGAGAACCACCCUGCCUGCACCUUGCCUAGUCCUGGGCCCAUUUCUGCCUCUUAUGGAGCCCAGCAUCCCACCAGGGAGUGACCAAAAUCCCCACAGGAUGUUUGCUGCAGUGGUAACCGGUGAAAUUUCCAUUUUGCUGAAAUAUUUGCUGUGUGUCAGUGUGAGCUGCACAGCUGGGCACUGUGCUGCUGUGUCACCAAAAAUACAUCCUCUGCUGUUUCCAGCUUAUGGUCUGUUCCCUCCUUAUUGUCUCCUGGCAAGGGGUAAUUUCAG